UCGCAGAAUUUCAAUAAAAACUUUUACGAUUAUUUUUUGGUAUAAAAGCCCAUACUGGAUAGGGUAAAAAUCACAAACUCAACUAGCAAUUCAGCCAAGAAGUUUCAGUAAUAUUCGAAAUGAAAUUCACAAUCCUCUUCGCACUUUUCGCUGUUAUCGUAGCGUCAUUUCUUGGAUUAGUUUCAGCCGAUGAUAUAAAAGCUGAUUCGAAAAUAGAUGGAAAACGAAUUAUUACCGCACAGUCUAACUGUCCAGAAGGACAAGUCGCUGACGGCAUAGGAAAUUGCAGAGAUGUCUACUAAAUCAUGGAAAAAGUGAAUUAUGAAUACCUUAAUACCUGAAAUUAUAUUGCUUGUUUUCAAUGAAAUUAAAUGAUAGCACUGCA
This is a long non-coding RNA of Harmonia axyridis, 385 nucleotides long. RefSeq lists it as uncharacterized. The transcript is spliced from 2 exons. The record is from RefSeq and is a predicted model, not a curated record. NCBI's taxonomy places the organism in Eukaryota, Metazoa, Arthropoda, Insecta, Coleoptera, Coccinellidae.